This 26780-nucleotide long non-coding RNA is filed under the name Vitis vinifera (wine grape). Its description in RNAcentral is "long non-coding RNA (VVIN_LNC004389)". The record is from RNAcentral. Lineage: Eukaryota; Viridiplantae; Streptophyta; Magnoliopsida; Vitales; Vitaceae.
AAGCAUCUUAGCCUAAUAUUUCAUCAAAUAUCAGACACUUUCUCUCAUUUCUAGUUUUCUCUGCAGGCAAAUUAAGAAGGUUAAAAAUGGUGUUCUCGGCCAUACUAAGUUGCUUUGUUCCAUCUUCUUCCUCGACCCGAGUCUUCAAUGAUGCUGGUGGGUCUAGUUUGAAGGAACCUAAGAGCAAGUCAUCGAAAUCUUCAUCAAGAGCUCCGAUCCCGGUCUCUUACUUCCCUGUUAACUCCUACCUCUCUCGCUUGUAGUGAUUAAUUUGAUCGCAAGUUGGAGUUAGACUUUGAAGAGUACCAAUGGAUUAUUGAUUCAGUUUAUGUAUUAUAUGAUGGGGUUCCUCAUCAUGCAGUUGCUUGAGGAGUGAUGAUGGAGUUUGUUUUAAUGUACAGUUUGAUGAUUAAUUUGCAAUAAUUAGAUUCAAGAAUAUUGUUAAUUUCCUCCAACUGCAUGCAAUGAAACAACUCUUUUUAAUAUAAAGUUGGGUAUGAUGAUACCAUGAAAUUACCUGCAACCAAAUAAGACAUUAACCCCAACUGAACUUCCUUGUUGUUUCUCAAUUUGAUCAGUAAAGGAGGAAGUCUUAAAAAAGCCAAUGGAAAAUGACCCCACCAUUUUAGAGAAACACUAGGUGAAAUUUGAUCCACAGAAUCUUCUAUACAUAUUUUAAAGUUGUGAGUGUCUCUUAAACCUAUAAUGGACAAUAUCUAUGUGAGAGAUGACAAGUUAUUAUAAAUAAUAUUAGAGUUAAUUCUUUAUCCGUGAAAGUUUGUUUGACCUUGUAAAUGGUUUUUAUCUUUUUGUUAUCAUAAUUCUAUGCAUUACAAUGAGGACGUUGCGUCUUUCUGAAGGCCACGCUAUAUAUGUAUUGAUUUUUCUUCAUUUUAUAAGCAUUCUGAAGGCCACGCUAUAUAUGUAUUGAUUUUUCUUCAUUUUAUAAGCAUUUUUUAAAGUCAUGAGUGUUUAUGAGGCACAAAACGGAUCACUACAAAUAUUUAUAUAGAUUUGCAUUUAAAUCCAAUAAAAUAUUAAAGAAAAGACUAAAACGGAACUUCGGUAUUGUAACUACUUAUGACCUAGUAGUAAACCUGAUUUUAAUAUAUCAUAUUAGAUUAUUUAUUUUUUAAAUACAUAAAUUGUUAGGUAAUAGAUCAACGAUAUAUACUAGACCGUUAACAUUAUCUAUAUAUUUAUCUUUGAAUUGAGCAGCAACAGCGAUUGACAUGCUUGUUGGUGGGACCUAAUUCAACAAUGAAUUGUAUUAUCACAUAUUUUAAUACUUAAAGUUUCUAUAAUUAAUUAGUCUUUGAAAAUGAUACAUAUUUAUUGUAGAGGCUACAACAAAAGCCUCUACAAUUAUUUUUAAGAGAAAUUAUUUAAGGGAUUUUUUGUAAUAAGAACAUGAAAUAAUAAUUUAUUUUUUUUCAUAUGUUAUAUUCUAACAAAAAAAAGUCCUUUAUUUUUUCAAAAAAGCGUCUAUUUCAUAAAUUAAUAUUAGUGAUUUUCUAGAUUUUUAAAAAUUUACUAAGCACAAUAUUAAAAACUUUUGUAUUCUAGGGAAGUCAUGAGACUUGGUCAAGAUAUGGAAUAUGGGAUGACGUUAAGCCUGAGAAAGAAAAUAUAAUUUCCCGGAAUAAGUAAAAGUAGGAUGUCUAAGGAAGAAAGCAUGAGAAUCACAUUGGAUGAUUAGUUUUAUCCUAUCAUAUUUAUUUAAUCUUAUUCCAAAGGAGACUUUAACUAAUAUGUUUUAAUUUUCUUCAUUGUUUUGGUCCCACCCUCUAUUUGUUUGUUACCUAGACCUUCCCAUUUUUGCUAGAAGGUUUUCUUCUUCUGGGUCAGACUAAUCAAAAUUUCAAAAGUUUAGUUGUUGGGUCUUUUUCUAUAGUCAGAUCAAGGUAGCAGCAGCUGCCACGAUUGUCACAGGAAGCUCAAGGGAAUCAACCAUCUCAUAUAUUUAUCGUUUAGCUUUCCUUGAUAUGCAAGUAAACCAACCCUACUACCAUUUCAGAUCUGCAUUAUAAAUAGAGAAGCAUAUGUUAGCCUAAUAUUUCAUCAAAUAUCACACACUUCCUCUCUUUUCUAGUUUUCUCUGCAGGCAAAUCAAGAAGGGUUAAAAAUGGUGUUCUCAGCCAUACUAAGUUGCUUUGUUCCAUCAUCUUCCUCGUCCCGAGUCUACAAUGAUGCUGGUGGGUCUAGUGUGAAGGGCCCUAAGAGCAAGUCAUCGAAAUCUUCAUCAAGAGCUCCGAUUCCGGUCUCUUACUUCCCCGUUAACUCCUACAUCUCUCGCAUGUAGUGAUUAAUUAAUUUCACUGCAAGGUGGAGUUAGAAUUUGAAGAGUAUGAAUGGAUCAUUGAUUCAGUCUAGGUAUCAUAUGAUGGGGUUCUUCAUCAUGCAGUCGCUCAAGGAGUGAUGACGGAGUUGGUUUUCAUGUACAGUUUGAUGAUUGAUUUGCAAUAAGUUGAUCGAAGAAUACUGUAUUAGAUCUUCAUCUUGUUAAUUUCCUCCAACUGCAUGCAAUAAACAGUUCUUUUUAAUAGAAAGUUGGGUACGAUGAUACCAUGAAAUUACCUGCAACCAAAUAAGACAUCAGCCCCUACUAUGAAAAUUGAGAAACAACAAAAGAGUUCACUUGGGGUUUCCAUUGGAAAGAAUCGGUACUUGAAAUAUUGGCAAUCAGUGAUUACCAUAUGUAUAACUGCUAAGUAAACCCUAGAAUCAGUUAGGGUUUAUCAUCAUCGAAGACAAAGGUUGUUCGAAUCAUAUAUUAAGCAAAAACUACUUACAUUAUACAGAUGAUGAUCAGUAAGGGAAGAAGUCUUAAAAAAGCCAAAGGAAACUGAACCUACGAUUUUGGAGAAAUUAGGGUGUAAUUUGAUCCACAAGGUGAUGACUGAUGACUAGAUAUGCAUGGUGGGAUUUGCCCCAGCGGUCCAUGAUGAUAGAAGGCUAUUAUCCUUUUACACAAGCACUAAAAGAAAAAGGAUAAAUUAAGUCGCCUUGCUUUGUCCUUUCAUCCGCCCAAAAUUCUUGCAAUAUGCACCUCAAAUCAAACCUAAGAGUAUCAAUCACUCUCUUUCUCUCCAUCCAUUAAAAAGUAUUAAUUUCAAACUUGUGAUAUCUCACAUGUUGGAAGUAGAUUUGUAUAGGUUUUUUAAUUUUGUAGAUGUACUUUAAAGUUGUGAGUGUCUAUUAGACUCACAAGGAAUAAUAUCUAAAUGAGAAAUAGCAAGUCAUUACAAAUGAUAUUAAAGUUGAUCAUCGAUCUUAAUAUGAGAGUUUAUUUGACCCUGCAAGAGAUCUUUUUAUUUCUAUGAUCUUAUGAGAUACAACGAGAACGUUAUGCACUUAUAUGAGGGUGUAUUAUAUAUGUAAUGAUUCUUCUUCAUCUUAUAAAUAACUUUUAAAGUUGUGAGUGCGUAUGAGACCCAAAACGGAUCAGUACAAAUAUUUAUAUAAACUUAUAUUUAAAUCCAUUAAAAUAUUAUUUGUUAUAUUAAAAUAAAUUGUUGUUUUUUAAAUGAAUUGGAAAUAUUUUGAAGUGUUUGUUCAUAAAGAAUUUUGAUAAAUAAUUGAAGAUAUGAAGAUUAAUUGUAGGGGACUCGUGACACGUAUUCAACAUAUCAAAUAUAAUUACUGAAUAAACAGCCAAAAAAAUAAAUGUAAAAAAUAAAAAAAAUACCAGGGCACCAGCUGAGAGAUGUGGAAGGGUCUUUAUCGGCCAAGAAGAGGAUGAGAUUGGCCUUGUUCUUCGGCGCUUCUGAUCUGAACUUCUCCAGCACGCCGUCGAACGUCGACACAGUGGCGUCCACCAUUUUCAGCGGCGUAUUCGCUUUUUCUCAGGGGUAUUUUGGGAAAUCUAGACAAUAUCAUUGCUUGACAACAAUGGCAUUCGUCUGUGCUCCUUUUACAGGUUUUAAGCUAAAAUUUGCCCACCCACAGGUGGUGAAAUUCCUGAUAUGCCCUUCAUAUUGGAGUCACCAAAAUCUCCAUGACAUAGUAUAUCACAUUUAUGUCAAAUUUGGAGCCAAUGAUAUAUUUUGUGGUUUUAAAGUUCAUUAUAUACUUAGAAAGGCUUAGAAUACAAAUUUGAUAAGGUCAAACAAUGAUAUUUUUCUAAAAAUUUUUGUCCUACGAGGUGGGCACACAUACCUAGAAAAGCCUAAAUCCUUGACAUUAUGCAAUCUUACUUUACAAGAUGGUAGCAAAUAAUUAAUUAUUUUUCAAACACCGUAUCCCCUUAAAUAUUAUAGUUGGUUCAAUAAGUGGUAGAGUCAGGAUUUCAAUUAGGGGACUAACUCUUAAGACAUAUGUAAAUUUUGCUGAUCAUAAAAGAUGUGGGCUUUGACCCAAUAACCCAUCCUUGGCAUUUUCUAAGGGGGGGCAUAAGUUGGUUUGGGGUGGGAAGUGGAGAUGGCUGGUUUCACCCUUGGGUUCAGUCAUUGUAUUGAUUGAUCCAAUGAAGAAUAAUAUUUAGUAUUGACAUUUGCCUUCAUAAAUGAGCUUAAUAGUAUUAUCUUGGUGAGUGCAAUCCAAUAAUUAACUUGAUAUGUGUUUUUCAUAAAAUUUUAUGUAUCUUUUUAUAUUUGCCCUUUACUACCAAAUGUCAUUGUUCAUUUUGAAUUUUUUUCUUCUAUAAUGAAUAAAUACUUUUAAUUUAAUAUAAAAUUAUAAUUAAUCAUAUCAUUUUUUAGAACAUGUAGUAAUAGUAAAUAUGUGUUAACGUCUUUGAAUCCGGGACUCGCUUUCUAUGAUAAAAAGAAUAUACCAUUAACAUUAUGAAAUGAUUUUUGAAACUCCCACCAAUCAACAUUAAUUAGUUAGUCCUUUUUAGUUAGAGAGUUAAUUUUACUAAGACCCCUAGGGUGUAAAUACGUACACAUAACCAUUAUUAAUUUUAAAUUUUGUCACUAAGUGUCUUUGUAAAUUUAUUUUGUUUAUACAAUUUAUUUUUUAAAGAGAUUUUAAGGAAGUGUAAUUAAUAAUUUUUUGAAAAAUAAGUUUUAUUCUUAAAUUUUUUUUAUAUAUGAAAUACAUUUAUAGAAGUGCUAAUUGAUAGAAUUUGAAACUAAUGAUGGUUUAAUGUAUUUAUACUGAACCUUGGGAUGUGAAUGAAACUAGCCCUUAGCGAAAUAGGGUUGAGGAGUUAAACAUGCAUGGGUUGAUUGUAUUAAGGAUGAAAAGUACUAUUAAGUUCUUGGAGACCAAGCAAAACUUGGUUAAUACUCCUAGAAUCAUCAGGUGGUCGGACUAGAAGUCAAAAGUUUUGGAGGAAUUGAAAACGACUUCCUCAAACUACAGACACAAGUGUGGGAAACAGGAAGGAAUUAAUUAACCAUCUAAGCUGGGGAGAUGGGGACACAACAUUUGAAUUUCCUUGCUAUACAAGAAAAUUAGUCCAACUUCACAGUAUAACACAUCAUCAUCUUCAUUCAAAUGUCAUCACUACUCACACUUCAGCUAGCUAGCUCUUGGCUUCUCAAACACUCACUUCCCUUAACUUCUGAAUAGAAAAAUUAAGGAGAAUUAAGGGUGAUUCAACAAUGGUGCUCUCAGCCAUUCUAAGUUGUUGUCUGCCAUCAUCAUCGUCGACUCUGCCUCGGGUGUCCGAUGAUGGUGGUGGGUCAAGAUGUGACAUUAGGCAAUCUUACCUUGCAAGAUUGUGGUUAGAUUGUAGAAUAAGCUAGCUAAUUUACUAUUUAUCAAACACUUUUUUCCCUAUAAAUUGAACUUUUUAAGUUAACUUAAGCCCCAUCUAAAGUUAUUAUAGCUACUAAUUAGCAAUCACAUCUCCCUUUCUAAUGGGAUUCUUAUCAACCAUUUUCAGGUGUUUGAUGUCUUGUUUUUCAAGCAAUGAAGCAAGAAAAUCUCCAGAGAAGCCUAAGAGAAAAUCAAAGUCAUCUAGGGCUCCCAUUGUGGUCUCUUCCUUCCCUGUCAACUCAAAUCUUUCUUGCUUAUAGCAUGCUGAAAUUUGAAAUGUAGUUGGUUCAAUCAUGGUAUGGACUGAUCUAUAAUUAAUGGCAAUGAAGCCAUGGUAUUGAUAGUUGCCUUUGCAAAUGAGCUUAAUGUUCUUAUAUAUCUUGGUGAGUAUAAUUCUAACUAUUUGAUCUGUCUUUUGAAUAUGAUUUAUGGUAUUUUACCCUACUGCAUGCCUUUGCUUUGGUUACCUCCUUGUGUGAACUGCCCAAUGGUCAUAAAGAUUAAUGAGUUUAAGCCUUGUUACGUUUACCCAUGCACAAAUUUGUAAUGUCAUUCACUUUGAAUUAAUUUCUUGGUGUAGACGUAUGAAACAAAAACUCUUUAUAUGAUACAAAAUUAUAGCUCUUAUCAUUUUUAAGACACGAUGAUGGAGGACGACAUCAUUCACUGCUUGAAGACCAAGCAAAACUUGGGGAAUACUCCUAGAAUUAUCAGGCGCCACACAAGUCAAAAAGUUAUGAAGGAAUAUUGAAAAUGGCUUCCUCAAUCUAGAGUCAAAGCAGCCACUAGUGUAGGAAACAGGAAGGAAUUUACCAUCUAAACAAUAUCACAAGCUGGGAAGAUGGGCACAUACCAUCUGGCUUUCCUUGCUAUGCAAGAAAAUGAGCCCAACUUCCAUUUCAAAUUAAACUUCCACUAUAAAUAUGUAGAAUCGUCUUCAUUCAAAGCUCAUUAAUACAAACUCACACUUCAGCUCUUGGCCUCUCAAACCACUUUGUUUAAUUUCUGAAAGCAGAAGGAGAAGGGUGAUUGAUCAACAAUGGUGUUCUCAGCCAUCAUAAGUUGUUUUCUGCCAUCAUCAUCGUCAUCUCGGGUGUCUGAUGAUGCUGGUGGGUCAGGCUCAAAGGUGCCUUCCAUGGGGAAAGACAAGAUGAGCAAAUCAAAUUCUUCAGGAGCUCCAAUAGUUCUUUCUUACUUUCCAUUGAACUCCUAUCUCUCUCGCUUGUAGUUGUACUACUAAUUGCAUUCUGAGGAAAGGGGAGUUGAAUUUGCAGAAGGUAUCAAUGGUUAAUUUCUUCAGCUCAAUGAUGUUAUGUGGAUCAGUUAAUUAAUGGGGCUUCUUGAUCAGUCAGUUCAGAGACCACACACCAUGGGGCAGUUGCUUAUGGGGUGGUGAUGUUGAAGGAAGAACAGCACUCAUGUACAUAUAGUUUGAUGAUUGAUUUGUAGUUUGAUUGAAGCAUAUCAUGUAAGAUCAUGGGUCCUUUAUUUUUAUUAGUAAUAUCCUGAUGAAUAAAAUUCAAGUGUAAUCCAAUUGUUUGAUUUGUGUUUUGGUAAGAGUUCUUAUUUCAUGUUAAUCCAUAUCCAAAUUCUUGUGCUUAACUUAAUAUAUUCAACAUAUUUUCAAUUAUAUCUUCGAAUUCAAUAAAAAAGACGAAGAAGAAGAGGAAAAUCCCUCAAAUUUGAAAUAAAAUACAACUUUAUUUUCAAAAUAAAUUCUCAAAACUAUUUUUAGUCCAAAAUUUAUUCUACCUAUGCUUUAAUUUGAAUUUUUUUUUUAAUUUUUCAAAAAUAGAAAAUCAUUUUAAAAAUUAAUUAUAACUUACCAUAAAGAACUGAUCUUCAAAUUUGAUCUAAUAUCAUGAUCCCUUUUUUGGUAUGAUCUCAAGUAUCUUGUUCUUAUCAUAUAUAAAAAAAAUGUUCUUAAAUUAAUACAAAAUGAUGAUAUGUCAUGUCACUUGAGAUACUUUCGAAAUGAUAGAAUAGAUAGAUUAGAAUUAGAAACCAGGAUCAUAGAAAUAAAAAAUUUAUUAUUAUGAAAAUCAAAGUCAACUUUUACAAGAAUCUUAUCCUUUUCUUACACAAUAUAUUAUGAUAGAUCUUCAAUAUUUUCACUUUUAUUCUUGCAUUCCAAACACUUCUAGAGAAUUUGCAUUCCAAAAUCAAAGCCAACAUUAGAGAACUUGUCACCUAGAAAGUUAGGUCUUUUUUAAUUCUCACAUUGAAGAAGCAUGGACCAUGUUUUUGUAUUUUAAUUAAAAUUGUUUCCAAUAAUUUUAUAUAGAUAUUAUCAGUCAUUCUGCUAGCUGGUCAUUGCAACCUCACAGCACAUGCCCACAUACUAAUAAAUAUCAGAAACUUCUUCCUAGCUAGGUAAUGUGGGGCAUGGCAAAUAAUUGAUAAAAAAUGAGAAGUCUUCAAUUCUUGGUGACCAAGAAAAACUUAGGUUAAAGCAACCACAGGAGUAGGAAGCAGAAGGCAACCAUCUGAUCAACAGUACUAUAAGUUGAGAACAUAGGCACACGUAUCAUUUGGUUUUUCUUGCUAUACAAGAAAAUCAUCCCAAUCCCAUUAUAAAUACAGAAUUAUCUUCACUCAAAUCUCAUCAUCAACCUUCUAUUUCAUAAUUUUUCAGACAUAGGAAGAGCAAAAACGAAAGAAGAAAAAAGACACGUAAAUCAUAACGGUAUUCUUUAUUAAUCUCAUCUUACACAUACAAACAUAUAUAUAUAAAGAAAAAUAAAAUUUUAACGUAAUUGAUAAUUGAUAUGAUUCCUAUGCUCACGGAAUACAUCAACACUCAAGAAUCUACUUCAUUUGACACGUAUAAGCAUAAAUAAAAAAAAACAAAAUUUUAAUAUAAUUGAUAAUUAAUAUGAUUCCUAUGUCCAUGGAAUGUUCCGAUACUUUAAGUUUGAAAUAUUAGGCAGGUACCAUAGUGUGGGGUUAUCCUAUUGUAUUUGCAUGCACCUCAAGACCCAAUACCUUGUGGCAUGACUUAGGUUAGAUAGUACAUUAUUUGGGAUAUCCAUGGUACAACCUAAUUACUUUGAUUUGUAGGAAUCUACAUAUAAUCUCAAUUGAUUUCAAACAAUUAAUUUGAUUUAGAAAAUUGAUGAGUUUAAUUACCAGGCACAUAAACUAUUUCUUCCACAAACAUAAUUGUGUCAUACAUCUUAUGGAUAAAUUACACUAGUGACUAUAAGACCAUGAUUAAAAUUUUUAUCCAAACAAUUAUAAAAAUUAUGGUUGAUAUUUAAACAAUUUUUUUUAUUAAUAAAAAAACUAUCCUAAAUGAGAUUUAAAGAAGGUAACAUCACUGAUUUGAUUGCCUCCGCUAUUGCAUUGUUACCUUACUUUUGUACUCAUCUAAGUCAAUUGCCCAACCAAAAUAAUGAUUUACUAUUCUUAAUGACCACACGACAUUCAUUAGUAGAUAAUGCGUCACACCUUCUUUGAAGAUGGGCAGGCUAAGGAAUAUUCUUAAACCAUAAGUAAUUUAAUUAUAGAAUAUUCAUUUAUAGAAACUCAGUCACACCAGUUAGCUAGGCAACAAAUCAUACAUUCUCAUUUGACUAUAAAUGAAAGUUAUAAUAGCUUCUAAACAUAUAUAUAUAUAUAUAUAUAUAUAUAUAUAUAUAUAUAUAUAUAUAUAUAUAUAUAUAAACAUAGUAAAGAUAUAGUUAUAAGUGAUGUUUGUUUUUUGGUUAAAUAGAAAAAGCCAAAUAUUUUGGUUUUUUCUAUUCAGUUAAAAGUAACUAAUUGACAUCAACCAACAUCAUUAAACUAAACUUAUUGAGAAUAAGUUCACUUUAAUUAUGUUGGUUAGUACCAAUAAGAUACUUUUAGCUGAAUAGAAAAAAUCAAAAUAUUUAGCUUUUUCUAUUCAGCCAAAAAAUAAAUACCAUUAUAGUGUUUUAAAUUCUUUAGUAGAUAACGAGGUAGGAUUAAAAAUAAUUAUUUUUCCCAUUCAAUUGAUUUGUGUUUGACAACUUUUUCUAAAUAUUUUUUUAUAUUAAAAAUAAGUGUAAUUUUGGUUUUUGUUUUUAUAAAAUUUAAUUUAAGAAAUAUUUACUUUUGACAUCAUGUUAUUUUCAAAUGUAAAUUCGAUCUGGGGUUUGUCAGCUUUAUUCAAUAUGGUUAAAAAUUACAUCUAAUUUUUGUAUAUUUUUCAAAUUGAGACUUUUAGUUCAUAUGAUAGUGAUUUUAGAAAAUCCUUAUAUUUUUUUUAAUAUUUAAUAUUUUUUAUCUUUUAAAUGUUAAAAAACUAAAAACACUUUCUAUAAUAUUAUCAAACACACUCAUAUCCAAUAUGUUUUUUUUUUCCACAUAUUUGAUCCACACUUCCAAUAAUUAUGGUCAAAGACACUCAUCGCUGAUAUGGUUUUUUAUGUACUUAUUUCAUCCUUUGUGUAUAUUUUUCGAAGUAUUAAAAAUACUUUCUAUAAUCACCGUUAAAUACACAUAUCCUAUAUGUUUUUUUUUUUAAAUAUUUGGUCACACUUCCUAUGACCACGGUUUAAGAGCCUCGUAUCCUAUAUGUUUUUUUUUACAAAUUUGGUCCCACCCUGUCUGUAUGUUCCCCGAAGCUUCCCACUUUCUCUAAAAAGAUUUAUUCUUAAACUCAAGGGGAACCAUGUCAUAUAUGAUUUGGCUUUCCUUGCUCUGCAAGUAAAUCAAAUCCACCUCCAUUUCUUAUUUCAAAUCUGCACUAUAAAUAGGGAAGCAUCGAACCCUAAUGUUUCAUCAAGUAUCUCACACUUCCUCUCAUUUCUAGUUUUCUCUCAGGAGAAAGAAGGGUGAAAAAUGGUGGUCUCAGCCAUACUAGAUUGCGUUGUUCCAUCAUCUUCCUCAUCCCAGGUCGUCGACUAUGCUGGUGGCUGGCCUUCCAUGGAGAAACCUAAGAGCAAGUCAUCAAAAUCUUCAAGGCUCCAAUCCUGGUCUUUCACUUCCCUGUUAACUCCUACCACUCUCGCCUGUAGUGGUUGAGUUAAUUGCUUGAGGAGUGAGAUGGAGUUUUGUUUUCAUUUACAGUUUGAUGAGUGAUUUGCAAUAACUUCAUACAAGAAUAUUGUAUGCAAUGAAAGAGCUAUUUUUGAUUGAAUGUUGGGUAUGUUUGAUGCCAUGAAAUUAAUUACCAGCAACCAAACAAGACAUGGAACCCUAGUUUGAAAAUUCAGAAACUAACAACAAAAGUUCAGUUGGGUAAUGAAUAGCAGUCAGUGAUGGCAUAUGGGUAAUAGUUAAUUAGAGUCACUAUUAAUUCAGGGUUUAGAGUUUAAAGUUUAUACUUAGUUGUUGGACACACAUAAAGAUCUAUAAAGAAUUCUUAAAAAAUCAUUUAAAAAUAAAUAAAACAAUAAGUUAUUUUAAUAUAAGAAAAAUUUUAAAAUGAUUAAUUUUUUUUAUAAUCAUUUUAAAAUUUAAAUAUUUUUAAUUUAUUUUUAAGCUUUUAAAAUGAGAAAAUAUCAAUUCUCGGAAAUUUUAAAACACUACAAAUAAUGUAAAUUGUUGGUGAUCGGAGAGCAAACUCCAACAUUAAAGACCUUUUCUCACUGAAGAUACUCUCUUUCCACACAAUGGUUGUUUUUUUUAACAGACUUGCCUAUUAAAAAAGGGUCAAACACCAUGUUGACAAAGGGGAGACUAAUGAUCUAAAAACUAAAAACAUUUUGUGCUGAAAAGCCCAGGAGAGGACUAAGCCAAAAAUUAAAUAUUUGGAAAGGGGAAAAUUUUAGGGGAUAUGUUGGAUAUCAAAUUUGUAAUCUUGGUAGUCAUUUGAAAUAUAUAAUGAAAUAUAAGUUGUUUGAUAUUUAUAGUUAUUUUCAUGAAUAAUGAUGGUCAUGAGGUCUUUUUGCGACGUCUAGGAAGCAAGCACGUGGAGUUAAAUAAGCAAAGUUGCAUGAGGCUUGGGGGUGCAAGCCUAUUUCGAUCAAUCCAAAGUUUGAGGCUGAUCGAGGGAAUUAGAGAUAUUCAAAUGAGUUCAAAUAUAUACAUAUUUUUAAAUUAUGUACUCAUUGAGGAUUAAUUUCAUACAUUUUCAAAAGAUUUGGAUGCCGUUUUCCUAGUUGAAAAUUUUGAAAUUUUUUUAAUGGAAAAUAAGAAAAAUGUUGAAAGAGCUUAUGUAACAUUUUUCCAAAAUACUACACUAGGAGGACACCACCUUAUAACUUGAUGUCAUUUUCCCAUUCCCUGGUGUCAUUUUGUGCUGAAGAUGAGCUAUGUACACCCCAAAAAAUGGCAAGGUCACUUUAUGCUCUACUACCAUUCCUCACUCCCUGCCACCAUUUCAUGCUAAAACUCCAAGACAAUAUGAGCCCACCAUUUUUGGACCUUUCGAGUUCACCAUUGGAUCUCUUAUAUUGUUUUUGAUACGUUAACGAGGUACUUAUGACACAUGGGAACACCUAUAUAAAGCCAUUUUGCAGUUAAUGAAGGGGGCGCCUUUGAGGAGAGCCUUUGGGCUACUAGCUUGGGGAGGAGACCAGCUUGUUCCAGCUUGCAUGCUUUAUUUGCUCGACGCUUUGCUCAUUUUAGUAAUUUGGUAAAGUUUUGAACUCACUGCUCUUGAUUAUACUUGAUUGUAACUACCAUUAAUAUUUGGUUUUGAAGUUGAAUUUGAAUGAUUGUAAUAGGUACUUUCUUAUGCUCUGAUUUUGUUCUUCACUUUGGUUAUAUUUUUGUGGCUUUUGAGUAGUAGUUUAGGUUGAGGAGAAGGGGGUUCUUAGGACCUCCAUUGUGUUUAUGAAAUGGACUCUUAAAUUCUAAGUGUUUGAUGAUACAGUCAGCAUGUGAGCUUUGUUUUUAAUUAGAAUAUCAAUAUUCCUUAAUAUUUGAAAAUUGAAGUUUGGGGGACCCUUAAGGGUAUCUUAAGUACUUAAUGGUUGAAAGUCAUUUUGACUUGAAAUGACUGUUAUUGAACCUCUAAUUAUUUGAUAACAAAUGGUAGUGGAAGCUUCAAUGUGAUAUCAUAUGGAGUUUCAAUUCACAAGUAUGAGACAUUGGGUUUGAUUAAAAUGUGCUUGUGUUGCAAAUCCUCUAACUAAGAAUACCUAUUGGUGACCUUAAUUGUGUCAAUUUCAUUAAGGGCUAUUUCAUGAAAACAAAGGAGUUCCAAGAGAUCUCCUAAUCCUUGACACUUUUUUAGCCUCCUGUUAAUAAUCUUUCCAAUUCCAUUGCACACCUAACAUCUUUUUCCUUUGGUUUGACUCUCUGACUCAUGGAGAUAUUAAAAUGGCAAUGUACUCCUUAUUGUUACAUACGCAUUACGAAGGAUGAAAAGUAUCCAAUUCUUGAAGACCAGGCAAAACUUGGUGAAUACUCCUAGAAGUAUCAGGUGGGUAACAUUAGAAGUCAAAAAGUUGUGAGAAACGGAAUUGAAAAUGACUUCCUCAAACUACGGUCAAAGCAGCCACAGGUACGUAGGAAACAGGAAGGAAUUUACCAUCUAAACAAAAUCACAAGCUGGGAAGAGGGGCAUGUACCAUCUGGCUUUCCUUGCUAUGCAAGCAAAUUAGCCCAACUUCCAUUAACUCCACUAUAAAUAAAGAACCAUCUUCAUUCAAAUCUCAUCACUACUUACACUUCAGGUAGCUCUUGGCCUCUCAAACCACUCACUUUCCUUGACUUCUGAUCAAAAGAAAAUAGGGAGAAUCAAGGGUGAUUCAACAAUGGUGUUCUCAGGCAUUUUAAGUUGUUUUCUGCUAUCAUCAUCAUCUUCAUCGCCUCGGGCGUCCGAUGAUGCUGGUGUGUUAAGCCCAAAGAAGCCUUCCACGGUGAAAGACAAGAGCAAAUCAAAAUCUUCGGGAGCUCCAAUUGUGGUGUCUUACUUCCCAGUGAACUCCAAUCUCUCUCGCUUGUAGUAGUACUAACUGAAUUGUAAGGAAAGAGGAGUUGAAUUCAAGAAGGGUACCAAUGGUGUUUAUUAAGUUCAAUGGUGUUAUGUGGAUCAGUUAAUGGGGUUUCUUGAUCAGCCAGUUGAGAAACCAGACCCUGGCGCAGUUGGUCAGGGAAGAAUAACACUGAAAAUAGUAAUAUCAGUUGUAUAUAUAGUUUGAUGAUUGGUUUUUAAUUUGAUUAAAGCAUGCAUAUGGUAUAAGAUCAUGGUUUCUUGAUUUGUUUUUUCUUAAGAUUUCUCCUAUAUCUUGUUCUCAGAUCCCUUUACCUUGUUUACCUCCUUUUCUGAAGUUCAGAUUUUCUUCAUCCAACACACUGAUAAGUGGCUCUGAGCCUGCCUAAUGACCUUGAAGAUCAAUGGGUUCUUCAUUUACUUUUCUUUUCGUCUAUGAGCAAUGAACUAGAGAUCAGUGAAUGAAAGAAAAAAAGGAAAUCUCAUAGAAAGUAUGCAACAUUGCUGAAGAAAAGAAGAUGAAGCUGUGAAUAUAUACGUAUAUUGAUCAGUUGAUGACAAUUCGAUCUAUUGAAGAUUUAAUUUAAACCUUACCAGAGCGAUCAAUUGAACUGCUAUUAACUAUUUGCUUGAGAAAAAACAAGGGCAUGUUUCCCAAUGUGGAUCCUAUCAGUUAGGUUACCUGGCCAUUUCAUGCUAAUAAAUAUCAGUAACAAAAUGUGAGGCAUUACAGAGAAUUGCUAAAGAUUAGUGAAAAGUCUUCAAUUCUUGGUGAGUAAGAAAAACUUAGAUUAAUGUUGCUAGAAGUAUUGGAGGUCAUAGAAGUAAGUCAAAGUUCUCAAGGAACUCAUGAGGAUGAAUUCCUCCGAGUAGGGUCAAAGCAGCCACAAGGGUAGGAAGCAGGAGGCCAGGAACCAUCCGAGCAAUACUAUAAUUUUCUCGGACUUGGGCAUAUAUCAUUUGGCUUUUCUUGUUAUGUAUACAAGAAAAUUAACCACCCCAAUCCCACUAUAAACACAGAAUCAUCUUCACUCAAAUUUCAUCAUCAACCUUCUGGAUCAUAAUUUUCUCGGACAAGGAAGAGCAGAAGCCAAGCCAAUUACAAUGGUGUUUUCAACCAUCUUGAGUUGUUUCUCGCUUAGUGAACUGGUGAAAUCUAACAGCAAAUCAUCAAAACCUUCACAAGCUCCAAUACUGGUUUCUUACUUCCCUGUCAGCCUUCAUCUCUAGCUUGUAGUACUUUAAUUACGAAGGAGAGAUCAUCUGCUGAAUCAUAAUGGCAGAAACGGUUUAUUCAUCUGGUAUAUUGAUCAACUCAUGGGGUUUUUUGAUGUAUAAAUUCAUUAAUUCACGAUUGAUUUGUAAAUUAAUUUGAUUGAAGCACACAUAUUAUAUAAGAUUAUUGUUUCUUGAUGAUAAUUAAGCUAAUCAUCAUAUAUACCUUUCCUUACUAUAGAAAAACCAGAUAUUAGGGCUUGUUUGGAAACAAUUCUGAAAAAUAUUUUUUGAGAACAAGUUUUAAAAAUUGUUUUAGGAUAUUUUGUAGAAAAAAAUUUAUUUUAAAACUUGAAAUGUUUUUAAUAUUUUUAAAAUAAAUUUUAUAAUUAUUUUUUAAAAUAGCUUUAAAAAAUAUAAGUGAAAACAACUAAAAAAUGUUUUAUGGAAAUAUUAUGUUUUCUAAUUGUCAAACGUGUUUUCUAGUUUUUUGUUUCUGAAAAACGAAAAUUGUUCUCCAAAACAAUUGCUAAACAAGCUUUAGGUGGUAUUUGUUUUUUUACUUAAUUCUAAAUAGAAUAUUAAUACUUAUUAGUAUUAAAUAUUAGGUUGUUUGUUUUUAUAGUAUUUUAUUUCUAUUAAGUAUUAAAAAAUAAAAAAACACCAUUGUGUUAUUUUUUCUAUUUAGAAAAAGCCACAUAUUUUGACUUUUUCUAUUUAGUAAAAAGUUUAUAAUAAGUCAUGAAAAAGUAAAAAAACAAACAACCUAAAUUUUAAAACUAAAUGAUUUUAAGCAAAAAAUCAAAAAAACAAACACCGCCUUAGUCUACUUCAAUCCUCAUUUGUAAUUAUCUUGAUUAAUAAUAUUGUGGUACCUUUGGCUAUUACCAGUUGGGACGCUUGACCCAAUAUUUGAUAGUAGAGUUCUAAUUAAUAUAUAAUUAAAAUUUUCUAAUUAUGUUUAAUUUAAUGAUGGGAUAUUAUUGAACAACAUCAUAAAAAAAUUUAAUAUUAACUAGAUUUAUCAAUUAAAAUAUUAAUAGCAUUAUCAUUUUUAUAUAUUAUUCUUCUAUGUCAUAUACCUUGAUGCCGUGAUGAAUACUUCUAUUAUUACGGAACUUGAUAAAGUCGAAAAAUAUUGUUAUAUACCGAGAGUGACUUUCUUCCUCCAUGGUCAAAGCUGGCACAUGCCAUAGAAAGUGGAAGCUCAAGAGCAACAUGGGUACUUAUAUCAUUUGACUAAGAUAAAAUUAAUUGAGAUAAAUAUUAAUAAAAUUAAAAAAGCAGGUAAAUAUGUCAAUUUGAUAAUUAAAAAAUAAAUUAAUUUUAUCGAAUAAUAAAAAUCAAAUAAUAAAUUUUAAGUUUAUAAUUUAAGAAUAAUUUAAUUUAAAAUUAAUUAAAUUAUUAAAUAUAAGUAUUAAAUUUGACCAAAAUAUCAUUUUCACCUCGCCUUGAUGAAGCCAUUAAGUAUUUAACAUUAGCCAUUGAUUUCUUUUUGGAUCAUUUUGAAACCCAAUGAUGUUGGAGGGAUGUUGAUGAUUUAUUGUUUGGUAUAUUUUAAGGUUUAAAGGAUAAAUAGUAGUACUGAAUACUUCCUACUAUCCUGACCAGUUCUUAAAGUCCAAAUGAAUUGAAAAUCUUGUGACACUGAAAGUGACUUUCUUCCGAAAUGGUCAGAGCAGCCACAACUGAUGGAAAUUCAAAGGAUCCAACUCACAAUUUUCACAAGAAACAUGGUCAGUUGGACUUCAAAUUGCUUUAUAUUCAAGAUAUUAAGAGCUCGAUAGGUUUGCAUCGCAGAAACAAACAAGUGAUUUUAGCACCGAGUAAUACUUGACUUCAUUAGAAGAGUAGGCAUGCAACGGUCCAUUGCUUUUUAGAGCAUCAAUACAUUGUCGGAUUGCCCUCACGUAGGAUGUCUUAUUUUUCCAAAAUAUAAAUAAAUCCCAUUAAUUAGGAAGAAAGCUUGAGAAUCACGUCUAAAGGAGACUUAGUUAAUAUAUAUGUUUUUCUUCAUUGGUUUGGUCCCACCCUCUAUUUGUUUGUUCCCUGAAGCUGGUUAGACUAGUCAAAAUUUGAAAGGUGGUGUAAUUUGACAUGACUGUACUUCAAAGACAUGGACGCCACCGCACCAAAGUUUAGUUGUUGGGUCUUUUUGUAUAGUCGGAUUAAUCCACUUGCUGCCACGAUUCUCACAGGAAGGUCCAGGGAAUUGACCAUCUCAUAUAUUUAUCAUUUAUCUUUCCUUGCUAUGCAAGUAAAUCAACCCUACUUCCAUUUCAAAUCUGCUGUAUAAAUAGAGAAGCAUCUUAGCCUAAUAUUUCAUCAAAUAUCAGACACUUUCUCUGCAGGCAAAUUAAGAAGGGUUAAAAAUGGUGUUCUCAGCCAUAUUAAGUUGUUUUGUUCCAUCUUCUUCCUCGACCCGAGUCUUCAAUGAUGCUGGUGGGUCUAGUGUGAAGGAACCUAAGAGCAAGUCAUCGAAAUCUUCAUCAAGAGCUCCGAUCCCGGUCUCUUACUUCCCUGUUAACUCCUACCUCUCUCGCUUGUAGUGAUUAAUUUCAUGGCAAGGUGGAGUUAGAAUUUGAAGAAUAUCAAUCGAUUAUUCAUUCAGUCUAGGUAUGAUAUGAUGGGGUUCCUCAUCAUGCAGUUGCUUGAGGAGUGAUGAUGGAGUUUGUUUUAAUGUACAGUUUGAUGAUUAAUUUGCAAUAAUUAAUUUCAAGAAUAUUGUUGAUUUCCUCCAAUUGCAUGCAAUGAAACAGCUCUUUUUAAUGUAAGUCGGGUGCGAUGAUACCAUGAAAUUACCUGCAACCAAAUAAGACAUUAACCCCAACUGAAUUUUCUUGUUGUUUCUGAAUUUGAUCAGUAAAGGAGGAAGUCUUAAAAAAGCCUAUGGAAAAUGACCCCACCAUUUUGGAGAAACACUAGGUGAAAUUUGAUCCACAGAAUGAAGAUCAGGUAUUCAUGGUGGGAUUUGCCUUAUGGUCCAUGACGAUAAAAGCUUAUUAUUCUUCUAUGCAUGCACCAAAGAAAAAGGGAAAAUUAAGCCGCCUUACUUUGCCUUUUUAUUCUCCUAAAAAGUCUGCAAUAUGCGCCUCAAAUCCAACCUAAGUGUCUCUGACACCCUCUUUCUGUCCAUCCAUUAAAAGGUACUAACUUUAAAAUUGUGAUAUCUCACAUAUUAUAGAAAAAAAGUUUGAUUUUAAUCUUGUAUAUAUAUUUUAAAGUUGUGAGUAUCUCUCGAACUUUAAUGAACAAUAUCUACGCAAGAGAUGACAAAUUAUUAUAAAUUAUAUUAGAGUUAAUUUCCUAUCCAAUGAAAGUUUAUUUGACCUUGUAAAUGAUUUUUAUCUUUUUGUUAUCACAAUUCUAUGCAUUAUAAUGAGGACGUUGCGUCCAUUUGAAGGUACGCUAUAUAUGUAUUGAUUCUUCUUCAUUUUAUAAGCAUUUUUUAAAGUCAUGAGUGUUUAUGAGGCACAAAAUGGAUCACUACAAAUAAUAAAAUAUUAAAGAAAAGACAAAAAGGGAACUUCGAACAACUUAUGAAGAUCAACAAUAUAUACUAGACCGUUAACAUUAUCUAUUUAUCUUUGAAUCGAGCAAGCAACAGUGAUUGACAUGCUUGUUGGUGGGACCUAAUUCAACAAUGAAUUGUUUUUUUUGAUAGGAAACAAUGAAUUGUAUUACCACAUAUUUUAAUACUUAAAGUUUCUAUAAUUAAUUAGUCUUUGAAAAUGAUACAUAUUUAUUGUAGAGGCUACAACAAAAGCCUCUGCAAUUAUUUUUAAGAGAAAUUAUUUAAGGGAUUUUUUGUAAUAAGAACAUGAAAUAAUAAUUUAUUUUAUUUUUCAAAAAAGCGUCUAUUUCAUAAAUUAAUUUUAGUGAUUUUCUAGAUUUUUAAAAAUUUACUGAGCACAAUAUUAAAAACUUUUGUAUUCUAGGGAAGUCAUGAGACUUGGUCAAGAUAUGGAAUAUGGGAUGACGUUAAGCCUGAGAAAGAAAAUAUAAUUUCCCGGAAAGUAAAAGUAGGAUGUCUAAGGAAGAAAGCAUGAGAAUCACAUUGGAUGAUUAGUUUUAUUUAAUCUUAUUCCAAAGGAGACUUUAGCUAAUAUGUUUUAAUUUUCUUCAUUGUUUUGGUCCCACCCUCUAUUUGUUUGUUGCCUAGAGCUUCCCAUUUUUGCUGAAAGGUUUUCUUCUUCUGUGUCAGACUAAUCAAAAUUUCAAAGGUGGUGUAAUUUGACACGACUUUCUUCAAAGAUUCGGGCCCUAGUGUACAAAAGCUUAGUUGUCGGGUCUUUUUCUAUAGUCAAAUGACUCAGAUCAAGGUAGCAGCAGCUGCCACGAUUGUCACAGGAAGCUCAAGGGAAUCAACCAUCUGAGAUAUUUAUAGUUUAGCUUUCCUUGAUAUGCAAGUAAACCAACCCUACUUCCAUUUCAGAUCUGCAUUAUAAAUAGAGAAGCAUAUGUUAGCCUAAUAUUUCAUCAAAUAUCACACACUUUCUCUCUUUUCUAGUUUUCUGAUCAGGCAAAUUAAGAAGGGUUAAAAAUGGUGUUCUCAGCCAUACUAAGUUGCUUUGUUCCAUCAUCUUCCUCGUCCCGAGUCUACAAUGAUGCUGGUGGGUCUAGUGUGAAGGGACCUAAGAGCAAGUCAUCGAAAUCUUCAUCAAGAGCUCCGAUUCCGGUCUCUUACUUCCCUGUUAACUCCUACCUCUCUCGCAUGUAGUGAUUAAUUUCAUUGCAAGGUGGAGUUAGAAUUUGAAGAGUAUGAAUGGAUCAUUGAUUCAGUCUAGGUAUCAUAUGAUGGGGUUCUUCAUCAUGCAGUCGCUCAAGGAGUGAUGACGGAGUUGGUUUUCAUGUACAGUUUGAUUGAAGAAUAUUGUAUUAGAUCUUCAUCUUGUUAAUUUCCUCCAACUGCAUGCAAUAAACAGUUCUUUUUAAUAGAAAGUUGGGUACGAUGAUACCAUGAAAUUACCUGCAACCAAAUAAGACAUCAGCCCCUACUAUGAAAAUUAAGAAACACACAAAAAAGUUCAGUUGGGGUUUCCAUUGGAAAGAAUCGGUACUUGAAAUAUUGGCAAUCAGUGAUUACCAUAUGUAUAACUGCUAAGUAAACCCUAGAAUCAGUUAGGGUUUACCAUCAUCGAAGACAAAGGUUGUUCGUAUCAUAUAUUAAGCAAAAACUACUUACAUCAUACAGAAGAUAAUCAGUAAGGGAAGAAGUCUUAAAAAAAGAAAAGGAAACUGAACCUACGAUUUUGGAGAAAUUAGGGUGUAAUUUGAUCCACAAGGUGAUGACUGAUGAGUAGAUAUGCAUGGUGGGAUUUGCCCCAGCGGUCCAUGAUGAUAGAAGGCUAUUAUCCUUUUACACAAGCACUAAAAGAAAAAGGAAAAAUUAAGCCGCCAUGCUUUGUCUUUUCAUCCGCCCAAAAGUCUUGCAAUAUGCACCUCAAAUCAAACCUAAGAGUAUCAAUCACUCUCUUUCUCUCCAUCCAUUAAAAAGUAUUAAUUUCAAACUUGUGAUAUCUCACAUUGUAGGAAAUAAUAGCCUAAUAUUAUAUAUGUAUAGGUUUUUUAAUUUUGUACAUGUACUUUAAAGUUGUGAAUAUUGUUGAACUUAAAAUGGAUAAUAUCUACAUGAAAAAGAGUAAGUCAUUACAAAUGAUAUUAAAAUUGAUCAUCAAUCUUAAUGUGAGAGUUUAUUUGACCCUGCAAUGAAUCUUUUUAUUUCUAUGAUCCUAUGAGAUACCACAAAGAUAUUGUGUACUCAUAUGAGGGUGCGUUAUAUAUGUAUUGAUUCUUCUUCUUCUUAUAAAUAAAUUUUAAAGUUGUGAGUGCCUAUGAGACCCAAAGCGGAUUAGUACAAAUAUUUAUAUAGACUUACAUUUAAAUCUAAUAAAAUAUUAUUUGUUAUAUUAAAAUAAAUUGUUGUUUUUUUAAAUGAAUUGGAAAUAUUUUGAAGUGUUUGUUUAUAAAGAAUUUUAAUAAAUAAUUGAAGAUAUGAAGAUUGAUUGUAGGGGACUCCUGACAUGUGUUCAACAUUUCAAAUAUUGGCGAGUACCUAAGAUAUUUAUUUGAUAUUAUUCCAAAGGAGACUUUAGCUAAUAUGCUUUAAUUUUCUUAAUAGUUUUGGUCCCACCCUCUAUUUGUUUGUUCCCUAGAGCUUCAUAUAUAUAUAUUAGACUAGUCAAAAUUUGAAAGGUAAUAUAAUUUGACAUGAUUUGUCUUCAGACUUGGACGCUACAUUCCCCCUGUACAAAAGUUUGACUGUUAAUUCGGUUUUUUUCUAUAGUCAGAUUAAGCUGGCAGCAGCCGGCACGAUUGUCACAGGAAGCGCAAGGGAAUUUACCAUCUCAUAGAUUAAUCAAUUAGCUUUCCUUGCUAUGCAAGUAAAUCAACCCUACUUCCAUUUCAUAUCUGCAUUAUAAAUAGAGAAGCAUAUGUUAGUCUAAUAUUUCAUCAAAUGUCACACACUUCCUCUCAUUUCUAGUUUUCUCAGGAAAAUUAAGACGGGUUAAAAAUGGUCUUCUCAGCCAUAUUAAGUUGCUUUGUGCCAUCAUCUUCCUCGUCCCGAGUCUUCAAUGAUGCUGGUGGGUCUAGUGUGAAGGAACCUAAGAGCAAGUCAUCGAAAUCUUCAUCAAGAGCUCCGAUCCCGGUCUCUUACUUCCCUGUUAACUCAUACCUCUCUCGCUUGUAGUGAUUAAUUUCAUGGCAAGGUGGAGUUAGAAUUUGAAGAAUAUCAAUCGAUUAUUCAUUCAGUCUAGGUAUCAUAUGAUGGGGUUCUUCAUCAUGCAGUUGCUUGAGGAGCGAUGAUGGAGUUUGUUUUAAUGUACAGUUUGAUGAUUAAUUUGCAAUAAUUUGAUUGAAGAAUAUUGUAUUAGCUAGAUCUUCAUCUUGUUAAUUUCCUCCAACUGCAUGCAAUGAAACAGGUGUUUGAUGAUACCAUGGAAUUACCUGCAAAUAAAUAAGACAUCAAAACCAAUCUGAAAAUUCAGAAACAGCAAAAAAUUAAGUUCAGUUGGCCGGGGAUUCCAUUGGAAAUUAAGAAUCGGUACUUGAAAUGGAAAUUAGUGAUUACCAUAUGGAUAACAGCUAAUAAAACCCCAGAAUCAAUUAGGGUUUAUCAUCAUAUAUUAAGCAAAAACUACGUGCAUUAUACAGAUGAUGAUUGGUAAAGGAAGAAGUCUUAAAAAUGCAUGCCAAUGGAAAAAUUAGGGUGAAAUUUGAUCAACAGAGUGAUGAUUAGGUAUGCAUGAUGGGAUUUUCCCAAUCCGUCCAUGAUGAUAAAAGCCUAUUAUUCUUGUAAACAUGUACUAAAAGAAAAAGGAAAAAUUAAGCCCUCCUACUUUUCCUUUUCACCCCCCAAAAAGUCUCCACUAUGCACCUCAAAUCAAACCUAAAAAUCUCUAUCACUCUCUUUGUGUCCAUUGGUUAAGAAGUACUAAUUUCAAUAUUGUGAUAUCUCACAAGUAUAGAAAAAAAGUUUUUAACACUAUAUAUACACGAACUCCUUUUAAUCUAAUAAAGUCAUGAGUAUCUGUCAUACUAAGAACAAACAAUAUCUAUGUGAGAGAAAAAAAGUUGUUAUAAAUAGUAUUAGAGUUUAUCUUUGAUUUCGUUGUAGAAGUUUGUUUGACCCCACGAGGGGUAUCUGUUUCUUUAAUCCCACAAUCCUACUGAACAUAGUUAAGACGUUGUAUUCGUAUGAGAGUCUAUUCAUGUAUUAAUUCCUCUUAACCUAAUACACUACUUAUAAAGUUGUGAGUACGUAUUAAACUUAGAAUAUGUACUCAUAGUAGGUCAUUACAAAUAUUUAUGCGGACUUACAUUUAAAUCCAAUAAAAUAGUGUUACACAAAUAUUAUAUAAGUAUGAAACACACUCUCAUUUGAGUAUAUAUAUAUAUAUAUAUAUAUAUAUGUACACUACCGAAUAAUGGUUCCUUAAUUUGAUUAUAUGUCUAAACUAGACAAUUGAUAAAAAAAAUACUUUGAAAUGAAAUUGAUGUAAAAGAAAAUAAUGAGUUAUAUAAAGAGUAAUUAAUGCGACCUUUGGCCUUAUAAUUAAGUAUGGUUAAAUUACAUUUUUUAAUUCUCUUAGUAUGUGAGACCCAAAUUAUUGAAUAUUUUUUUAGGUUGUUAUUCAAUUGAUGAGAAUGACAAAUUUAUGGCUACCAACAAUGAUGUUUAUUAUUUAAAGCUACUCAUUUUGAAGAAGUCGCAUACCAAUCCUUAAACUAAAUCAAUUAGGUCUUAACUACUUUUUUAUUUAAUUUUUUUUUUGUAAUGAGUUGGUCAACACUGAAGCCUUAAUUUUAUGUUUGAAAACUUUAUUUUAAAUACACUUCUAUUAAAAAUAAGAAUAAUGUUAGUAUAUUUAAUAGUUAUUACUACUUUGGUCCCACUCUGGAUGUGUUCGUUCUCUGAAGCUUCCCAUUUUCUCUCGAAGGUAAUUUUUGUCUAAUGUCUCUCUAAGUUUUGAAAAGUUUUCUCAAAGACUUGGCCACCACAUCCCCCCUGGACAAAAGUUUAAUUUGGUCAAAUUAAGCAGCCAGAAUUUUCUCCAGAAGCUCAAGGGAACCAUCUCACAUAUUAUUUGGAUUUCCUUUCUAUGCAAGCAAAUCAGCACUAUAAAUAGCGAACAUCUUGGCAUAAUGUUUCAUCGGUCAUACUUCCUCUCAAUAUUUCUGGUUUUCUCAGACAAAUUAAGAAGGGUGAAGAAUGGGGUUCUCAGCUAUACUAAGUUGCUUUGUGCCAUCAUCUUCCUCAUCCCGAGUCUUCAAUGAUGCUGGUGGGUCUAGUGUGAAGGAACCUAAGAGCAAGUCAUCGAAAUCUUCAUCAAGAGCUCCUAUCCCUGUCUCUUACUUCCCCGUUAACUCCUACCUCUCUCGCUUGUAGUGAUUAAUUUCACUGCAAGAGUUAGAAUUUGAAGAGUAUGAAUGGAUCAUUGAUUCAGUCUAGGUAUCAUAUGAUGGGGUUCUUCAUCAUGCAGUCGCUCAAGGAGUGAUGAUGGAGCUGGUUUUCAUGUAUUGUUUGAUGAUUAAUUUGCAAUAAUUUGAUUCAAGAAUAUCGUAUUAGAUCUUCAUCUUGUUAAUUUCCUCCAACUGCAUGCAAUGAAACAGCUGUUCGAUGAUACCAUGGAAUUACCUGCAAACAAAUAAGACAUCAAUCCCAAUUCUGAAAAUUCAGAAACAAGAAGAAAUUAAGUUCAGUUGGGGUUUCCAUUGGAAAUUAAGAAUUGGUACUUGAAAUGGCAAUAAGUGAUAACCAUAUGCGUACAGCUAGUUAAACCCCAGAAUCAGUUAGGGUUUAUCAUCAUGUAUUAAGCAAAAACUACUAAUUACAUUAUACAGAUGAUGAUCUAAAAGGAAGAAGUCUUAAAAGCCUAUUAUUCUUGUUUCCACAUGCACUAAAGGAAAACGGAAAAAUAAAGCCACCUGCUUUGCCUUUUCAUUCUCCCAAAAGUCUCCAAUAUGCACCUCAAAUCAAACCUAUGAAUCUCUGUCACUCUCUUUCUCUCCAUUAGUUAAGAAGUACUAAUUUCAAUACUGUGAAAUCUCACAAAUAUAGGAAAAAAUUUCCUAAUGCUAUAUAUACAUGAAUUCCUUUAAAUUUUAUAAAUUCAUUUUGAAGUUGAGUACCUUUUAAACUUAGAACGAGAACAAGUUGUUAUAAAUAGUAUUAAAGCCGAUCUUUGACCUUAUGUGAGAGUUUGUUUGACUCUAUAAGGGAUAUUUGACUUCUUUUUUUUUGUUCCACAAACUUAUGAAACAUAAUGAAAACAUUGUAUUUGUAUGAGAAUAUGUUAUUUAUGUAUGGACUUCUCUUAACCUGGUAUGAAACUUUUGAAGUUAUGAGUAUUUAUUGAACUCCGAGUAAGUUAUUAUAAAUAUUUAUGCAGACUUAUAUUCAAAUCCAGUAAAAUAGUGGGGAAAAGAUAAAAAACAUAACUUCAAUAUUAUUUGUUACACUUUUGGACUCAUGACCUCCUAUUGCAUAAACCUGAUUUUAAUAUACCAUCUUAAGUUAUUAAUUUUUUUAAAUACAUAAAUUGUUAGGUAAUAGACUAGUGAUGUAUCGGCUCUAACAUGUUGGACUUAUCUUUAAAUUGAACAUGUCCAACAUACUUGUUAGUGGAACCUAAUUAAUUGUUCAUUUGAAAGUGUCUUUUCCAUUCAUCUAAAACGUGCACAGUAAAUUCACAAACCCACCAAACUUGAUGGAACCAUUGGCUGAACAUACCAACUAUAUGUUAGCUAGCUUGCUCUUCCUUUCUCUACAUGGUAAGUAACAAAGGGGUAUUUAAUGUUUUAAUUAAAGUCAUUAAAUUUGGUAACUUCGCUGUUACAAAGAUCAACAACAAAAGUACCAAGAUUCAUAAAUAAGUUCAUCAUUUUCUUGUUCUUAGCAUUUGUAUCUAAGUGAAGCUAUGAAAAGAGUUCAAUUCUUUGUUACCCCACAAACCACAAUCAUUUUUCUUGCUAUUAGCAUCACUUCUAAUAAGUCAAUGUUGCCAUAACUCUUUCGGGUGUUCUACACUUUUAAAACUGCAUUGAUUUUUUUUUUUUUUUUUAAUUAUGAGUUUCUUUGUUCUCUAAAAUAUGGGUGAAUUAUACUAAGAAGUAUAAAUUCAGGAUUGAGAUUUAUAUCUAAAAAUUCAUAAAAGUUACAUUUGAUUUUUAAAAUAAUGCUUUUAGUAUUUUAAAAACUUUGCCAAUUGGGUUUAAAAAUUAGGCCAUUGAUAAAAAAAAUAUAAGGUUAAAAAAAAGAGAGUUAUAUAUAAAGUAGUGAGACCUUAUUUGACCUUACAAUUAAGUGUGGUUAAAUUACAUUUUUUAAUCCUUUUGGAAUGUAGAGACCCAAAUUAAUGAACAUUUUUUUAAGGGUGUUAUUCAAUUUAUGAGAAUGGCAAAUUUCCGGCUACCAACAAUGAUGUUUAUUAUUUAAGGCUACUAAUUUUGAAGAAGUCAACCACCAAUCCUUAAACUAAAUCAAUUAGGUCUUAACUACUUUUUUUCUUUAAUUUUUCUUGUAAUGAGUUGGUCAACCCUGAAGCCUUAAUUUUAUGUUUGAAAACUUUAUUUUAAAUACACUUCUAUUAAAAAUAAGAAUAAUGUUACCACCAUGGAUGUGUUUGUUCUCUGAAGCUUCCCAUUUUCUCUCAAAGGUAAUUUUUGUCUAAUGUCUUCCUAUUAUGAUUGUAUGUAAGAGUCUAAGUUUUGAAAAGUUUUCUCAAAGACUUGGCCACCACAUCCCCCGUGGACAAAAGUUUAAUUUGUCAAAUUAAGCAGCCAGAAUUUUCUCCACAAGCUCAAGGGAACCAUCUCAAAUAUUAUGUGGAUUUCCUUUCUAUGCUACCAAAUCAGCACUAUAAAUAGAGAGGCAUCUUGGCCUAAUACGUCAUCGGUCAUACUUCCUCUCAAUAUUUCUAGUUUUCUAAGGAGGGUGAAGAAUGGAGUUCUCAGCCAUACGAAGUUGCCUUGUGCCAUCAUCUUCCUCAUCCCGAGUCUUCAAUGAUGCCGGUGGUCUAUUGUGAAGGAACCUAAGAGCAAGUCAUCAAAAUCAUCAGCAAGAGCUCCGAUCCCGGUCUCUUACUUCACUGUUAACUCCUUCCUCUCUCGAUUGUAGUGAUUAAUUUCAUUGCAAGGUGGAGUUAGAAUUUGAAAAGAAUAUCAAUGGAUCAUUGAUUCAGUCUAGGUAUUAUAUGAUGGGUUCUUCAUCAUGCGGUUGAUUGAGAAGUGAUGAUAGAGUUUGUUUUUCAUGUACUGUACUUUGAUGAUUGAUUUGUAAUUUGAUUCAAGCGCAUUAUGUUAGAUCUUCAUAUCGUGAAUUUCCUCCUACCGGCUGCAAUGAAACAGCUGUUUUAAUACAAAUAAUUAAGACAUCAACCCCAGGUCGAUUUUGUCAUAAGUACUUUUUCAGGUGUUCUAUACUUUUUUGAAAGCGCGGACACGACAUUUCUUGAGAGAAUUAAAAUUAGAGUCAAAGCCGUCUCAACGCAAACGUCAUCCAUUAGAG